Molecule: long non-coding RNA, 7332 nt
Filed under: Sus scrofa (pig)
Lineage: Eukaryota; Metazoa; Chordata; Mammalia; Artiodactyla; Suidae
Description: lncRNA (ENSSSCG00060038398.1)
Source: RNAcentral
UACUGGAAUAGCCCUUUAUUUAUUAAAGAAAUUGAAUUUAUUGUUUAAAAACUUCCCACAAAGAAAACUCCUGGCCCAGAUGAUUUCACUGGUGACUUGAAGGAAUAAAUAAUUCUAGACAAACUCUUUCAGUAAAUUGAAGAGGAAAGAUUAUUUCCCAACUCGUUCUCAGAGGAGAGCAUUACCCUGAUACCACAGUUUGACAGAUAUCACAAGAAAAUUAACUUCACACCGGUAUCCCUCAUAAACUUAGAUGCAAAAAUUCUAAACAUAAGUUAUCAAAUCAAAUCCAACAAUAUAUAAAAAUGACAUACAUCAUGGCCAAGUGGGAUUUAUCCUAGAAAUGCAUGAUUGUCUUAACAUUCAAAAAUCAAUCAAUAUAAUUCACAUGGUAAUAAAUUUAUUUAUUUACUUAUUUAUUUUAGGGCUGCACACACGGCAUAUGGAAGGUCCCAGGUGCAGCCCUAAAAAGAAAAAAGAAAAAAAAAUUUAACUUUGAAAAAAAAAGACAAAGAGAUCAAAGGUACAGAAUAGAGUAUUGAAAAAAGACCACAUAUAUGUGGACAACUGAGUUCUGUCGAAGGUGCAAAGGCAGUGCAGUUGAGAGGGGACGGGUCCUGUCAGCAGGUGGGGCUGGAACCGUGGACAUCCACUGCAAACAAAAGAACUUUUAUCCAUAUCUUGCAACUCAAUUCAAAAUGGAUCACAGAUUCAAAUGUAAAAGGUAAAGGAAUAAACUUCUGGAUGAAAACACAGAAGAGAAAACCUUUGUGGCCUUAGGUUAGGGAGUGAGAGAUUACAAACUUUGAGGCAUCAUGGAUAUAUUCAUUUUCUUGAUUGUGGUGUUAGUUUCACAGUGUCUGUGGCACCAAAAUCACAACUCAUGAAGGGAGCCCUCUAGGGAGAAGGAUGAAUGAGUUCACUGCGCCUCUAAACUUGGGUCUUUGGGGGCCCCAGCUGGUCUCCCCCUCAUUUCCCACCUCCACCCUCUGAGUCCAGGUGACUGGAGUUCAGGCUCACAGGGUAGCAGGGUUCAAGGGAAUCACCCUAUGUCUCCCUGCCACAUACAAAAGAAAUCCCGUCCCGCCUGUGCAUUCACAGAAGAGCUUGCGCUUACAAGGAAGAUGUUCAGGACAAAGAUCUGAGCGGCUCCACCCCCCCAAUCACACCAAAAAUAACAGUACUAAUAAAAGCAAUAACAAUAACUCCUGCAGUACAACGACUUUGUUAACGGCAGCUAACAUUUGUUGAUCACUUAUCCGAACCAAGCCCUUCCAUGAGCAUUUCUUGGCACUGUUUCAUUUGAUACUCAUUACAGACCUCUAGGGAGGGUGUUCUUAUUAUCCCUCUGGAAUAGGUGGGGGAAACCAGUCCUGGAGAGGUUAGACAGCUUUCCCAAGGCUACAGAGCUACUAGGAGCCGGGUGGGAAGACACACUCAGACACCUAAUCUGAGGCCACAUUUUGGUCAUUCAUCGGGCCAGAUACAGAGCCAGGGUGAGCAAAGAGCAGCUUCAAAAGGAUCCCUGGGGUUGUGGACAUCAGCAGUCAGGGGCAAAAUAGCCAUGGCAACUACAGAAGGCAAAUGAUCUGUUCCAUAUCCAUUUGCCACUAAAACAGUGUUCUCUGGAGCUGUAGUCUGGGUUAUGCACUUUUUUCCUAGAACCUCUACCCUCAUCACUGAAAUUCAGGGUUUUUUUACAUCCUGGGGAGGGAUUUCCCAGACACAGGAUUUUCAUACUAACACUGGGGCAGUCCCUGGAUGUUUGGCCACCUCAUUCUGGACACAGCUGCAAGGCCAGACACAGUGGUGACCACGCUAAGUCCAGCAAGGUCCUCAUGCCCAACUGGUCACCAAAAGGUGAUGUGAAGCCUUGGUUCAGCACGCCCAGCAUGGGUUAUUUUUCUUUCUUCUGUUUUGCUGCCCCAUGGCAUAUGGAAGGCCCAGGCCAGGGAUCAGAUCCAAGCCACAGUUGUGACCUAAGACGUAGCUGCAGCAAUGCCAGAUCCUUAACCCACUGUGCUGGGCAGAGGAACAAACCUGCAUCCCAGCCCUCCCAAGACCAUCCCACUGCACCACAGUGGGAACUCCUUGGGUUAUUUAACAUCAGGCCCCUCAGAGCCUUAACUGAAUUCCUCUGAUCCCUCCCUGCAAAGGCAUGGGAGCUAGAUCCCAGACAGAUCAUUUGCAGCAAUUUAUAAUUAAUUUAUGCCGCCUGAAACAUCCCACUGGGUCAGUCUCAUUCUUCACCCAGUUAAUGAAAGGAUUGAUUUUAAGGACACCUUUGAUCAGUAAAAGCAUGAUUAAGACUUCCUCCCCUUUCCUCUUCUCUAGGAAUGAGCAAUGAACCUUCGGUCAUAGAACUGCCUUCAGUUCUCCCGACAAAUGAGCUUGCUGCAAUCCUGUGUUUAAUUAGUCUCUCAGAUGAAAUUGCGGUGCCCCUGCUCUAGAUUUCAUUCAUAAGCUCACUUAUUUCGCCUAUGGCAGGCUUUGUAUUGACUCACUCAUUUACUGAGGGGCCAUAUGGUGCACACAGAGCAAAGCAACGAUGCAUCAAGCCGAAACCCAGCGGGAGCAGAGGAGAAGCCAGCACCGUCCGCCAGCUGACAUUUAAUUGACCGUCUACUAUGUGCCACCAGCCAGGCCCAAGGCCUGGGGUGUUCAGAGAUGAGCAAGAGGCACAGACACUGCCCUAAGGCAGAGUUUCUCAACCUUAGCACGACUGAUUUUCAAUGCUGGAUAAUUCUCAGCUGCUGGGCUGUCCUGUGCAUUGUAGGCUGUAUAGCCAUUAUCUCAGACCUCUACCCACUAGAAGCUAGAAGAACUGACCCCACUCCCAGUGACAACCCAAGAGAUCACCAGACAUUGUCAAAUGUCCGUAAGGGGCAGAGUUGCCCCCAGGUUUAAAACCUUAAGGUGCUUGAAUCUAGAAUAGCAACUAAGACAACUACACAAAGCUUCAUGACAAACGCCAUCAUGGCAGGAGUACAGCGGCUGUAAGCUCCAGUGCACUUGGGGGUCCAGAAAGGGGGAUGCUAGGAAGGCAAUGGGGACGUUUCUAACUGAAGAGGACAACCUGCUCAGCUCCAGCCAAGUAUCACCAGAUACGCUGACAUUCCCUGUGGAUUCUGAAAUCUGGGCUUCUGUGUGAAAUUUCCCAAUCUCUCAAUGUUUUCAACCAGUUAAAAAUAUUUUUAGAACAAUGUAAACCCCAAUCAUAAAUAAAUAAAUAAAAAUAUUGAGGACCUUAUUCAUCCAGAUGUCCCUUCUGCAUAGAAAAUUGGGCAGCACCUGAGUCCUGGCAUCACCUCUGGCUCCCUUCCACCUCUGGGCAUGGGGUCUGUUUCUAGGCAUUGGAGAGUAAUCCAUAUGACUGAGCUUGAACAGCAGUUCUUGAUGCCCAUUCAAACCACCUGGAGAUAUUUAAAAGCCCAUCAAUGCACCAACCUCACACUAGACCAAUUAAACCAGAAUCAGGAAGUAGGGUACCAUUGUCCGUGUUUAUAAAACUCUCCCCAGCUGCUUCUAACAUUCAUUGGUGUCGAAGCAAACCAGCAUGUGUGAAAGCCCUUCUCCAGGCAGUGUGUGGAUUAAGAUCCAGGCCCCCAGACUCAGACUGCCUGGGUCCAAAUCCAGCCCCACCACAGGCAAUUAUCAAGUCUGAGAGAAAUCCAGUCCAGGCCUCAGGGUCUCUGUCUGUUAAAUGGAGAUCACACUUGUAUAAAAAGACAGAAUUGCUAAAAGUGGGGCCCAGACAUUAGUGUUUUUUACAUUUCCAGAUGUUUAUAAACAGCAAUCAGGGUUGCUAUAGAGAAGCAGGAAUUGGGUUCCUGCCAGCUCUAAUGCUCUAUGAAUUUCCCUUUGUGUGGAGAGGAAAUGAGUCCUAGAUACCCACUAAGUCUGGAACUGAGAUGCCCCAUUGGGAUCCCUCAAGAAGGACUGGAGAUAAAGAGCCAGAUGCUGACUGUUCCAAACAAAAACUCCAAAGGGACAUGAUACAACCUCCUACACACACAAUCAUAAGCUGCCAGGAAGAAGACAUACCUUGAAUAUCAGUCUAUAAGGAUUCAACAUGCGAGGGCCACUCUGCUACCGUGAAGGGUCUUCCCAAGACACUCAAAGAGCCUAACAUCCAAACACUGCCUAUCUCAAAGCAUCUGAUUCAGUGUCAUGUUGGUAAUAUUUCCAUUAUUCUCCUGAACUUCUGUAACGAGAUGCUAACAAUGGGCCUUCUAUUUUGGACACACACAUUUAUCAUUUGAUUAGGAAAGAUUACCUAUAUUUAGAUAAAACAUAUAUCCCCUAACAGGGAUGGACAGUUAUAAAUAGCUUGGGAAGCUCUAGUCGAUGCCCAAAACAUCAUGAUUUAGGUUGAAAGAAAAAGCCUUUCUGAUCACUGUCCUUUCGUGUUCUCCAGCACAUUUUUCAUGUUUACCUGCUGUCACCCCAGAUAAGCAAUCACCUUGGCUGCAUCCCAUUUUGUCACAAGCUAAGGUAGGAGGAAGAAUUGUCACAAUCAAAUGGGCAGGAUCAAGGCUCCGGGGAGGAGAGGCUGGGGUCUGGGGCCUUUGCCCUGCAAUCAGUUAAUUAGCCUACCUCCAAUUUGUGUAGGAAAGCUCUUGGGGGAGCCACAGACAUGGCUCCAAUUUAGGCCUCUGCUCAAGCUCUCAGAUGGAAGAAGGACUGGAAGGAAGCCAAGCCUUUCCUUCCACACUGAAAUGGAGACCUGGCUCUUGAGUAGGAUUGCUUCCUUCCCUGGCCAUUGAAACAGCUCAGCUAGGUUCUGAUGCAAAAGGAAAAACACAACCAAUGACUAUAGCUGGGAAAUGUUGAGCAAAAAAAGAAAUGUUGUGGUAUUGGUUUAGAACCUGAGUUUAAAAUAAAAUCCAGGAAUCCAGAAGACCCUUCCAAUUCUAGGAAGAUGGACUAGACAUGCUUUUUCCUUUUUUUUCCACUAUGUAUAACUAAAAACCCUAAUCAUAUAUAAAAUACACAUAAAUAGACUAAAGGGAAGAAGGCAGACCAGCUACAGAAUCCAGUGUGCAUGAAAUGACACUGUGAAUUCCCUGAGUUUUAUUUUUGCUCAUAUCCCGCCCCACCCCCACCUGCGUGGAAUUAAAGAACCCAGAAAGGCCAAUACACACACACACACACACAAACAAGCCCCAAUAAAAGCCUGCUCUCUCUAGCCAAAAGGCUAGGAAAGAACACUUGUAGCCAUUAACCACUCUACUCCAGUAAAACCUCACAAUAAAAACUAUAGUUCCACCUCUACCCAUGACAGCCAAGGCCAAAUGGGGAACCUAGAUUUCAACUCUCUUGAGGCUGUAAUAAGGGGCCCCAGAUGGUAUCAGAGAAGAUAAGUAGGGAGCCAGGGUUUUACCUACUCCUGCAGAGUGGUAAUGAGCCCCCAACCCUCAGUGUCAGUGAGACCACAUGAGGAACAAGAACCCCUAACCAGCAAUAACGAGAAGCCUCCACCUCGGAUGUCAACAUAGCAAGUAAGAAACCUGGACUUCCACCCCUACCUGGGAGCAACAAGGCAGCACUAUAACUUCUCCUUCAGAAGUGGUAUCAGAGAAGUCCAGCUGAAAUAAAAGGAUUAAAUAAGAUACAGACUCUCACGGUAUAAUACUAGAAUGCUCAGAUUUCAGUCAAAAAUCACUCAUAUGAAGACCCAUGACGAGCUCAAACGAAAUUAAAAAAGACAAGUAAUAGAUGCCAAUGAAAAGAGGACAGGAAUGUUAGAAUUACAUGACAAAGAUUUAAAAGCAGCCAUGAUAAAAAUGCUUCAACAAGCAAUUACAAAUGCAUGUGAAGCAAAUAAAAAGGUAGAAAACUCAGCAAAGAAGGGCCAGAAAGUUUGGAAGUGAAAAAACACAAUAACUGAAAUAAAAGCUCAGUGGAUGGGCUCAGUGGCCAAAUGGGAAACAGAAGAAAAGAAUCAGUGAACAGGAUGACAGAAUAGAAAUUACCCAAUCUGAACUAAAGAAAGAAAAGAGACUUUAAAAAAAAAAAAAGGAGGAAUUAGAGCCUUGGGGACCUAUAAAAAUCUAACAUGCCUGUCAUCAGUGUCCUAGAGGAGAGAAGAGACAGGGUGGGGCUGAAAAGGUACUCAAAGAAAUAAUGGCUGAAAACUUCCCAAAUUUAGCAAUUUGAGAAGAUGAGUAAAUCCCAAACAGGAUAAACCCAAAGAAAUUCACAUAAAGGCAUACCACAAUUAAAAUCUAAAAACUGAAGAUAAAGAAAAAAAUCUUAAAAGCAGUCAGAGAAAAAUGACAAUUUGCUUUUAGGGAGAAAUAAUUAGAAUGACAGUGGAUUUUCUCAUCAGACACCAUGGAGGCCAGCAAGAAGUGGCACAAUAUUUUCCAGGUGGCAAAAGAAAGAACUAUUAACCUAGAAUCCCAUACCCAGCAAAAAUACCCUACAGGAAUGAAGGGUAAAUAAAAACAUUCUCAGAUUAAAGAAAACUAAGAGAAUUUGUUUCCAGCAGAUCUACUCUAAAUGAAUGGCUAAAGGAUGUUCUCUAAACAAAAAAACAAUGAAAGAAAAAAAAAAAACUUACAAUACCAAGAAGAAAGGAAGAACAUGAUAAAAAAAAAAAUGUGGAAAACCUUUCACAGAAGAGAGGGGAAUAACUCCCAAUUCAUUUUACCAAGCUAUUAUCACCCUGUUACCAAUACAAAAAGAGAAAACUACAGACCAAUAUUCCUCUUCAACAUAGAAACAAAAAUUCUUAACAAAAUACUAAAAAAUAGAAUUCAGCAAUAUUUAAUAAGAAUUAUACUCUAAUACCAACUGAGUUUUAUUUCAUGGAUGCAAGUCUGGUUCAAUAUUAAAAAAUCAAUCAAUAUAAUCCAUCAUAUUAACAAGCUAAGAACAAUCACAUGCUCAUCUCAAAUGAUGCAAAAAAAAUCAUUUUACAAAAUUCAAAACACAUUCAUAUUAAAAACUCUCAGCAAACAAAAAUAGAUUUUCUCAAUUUGAUAAAGAGCAUGUGCAAAAACCUACAGCCAACAAUGUACUUAACGGUGAAAGAGUGAGGCUUUCUCUCUAAAACUGGGAACAAGGCAAGGAUAUUUAUUCUUUUUCUAAAUUUUUUUUAUGGCUGCACCCAUGGCAUAUAGAAGUUCCCUGGGCCAGAAAUUGAAUCUGAGCCAUAGCUGCAACCUAUGCCACAGCUGCAGCAACACUGGAUCCCUUUAACCCACUGCACCAGGCCAGGGAUCAAACCCACACCUCACAGUGACCAGAGGUGUUUCAGUCAGAUUCUUAACCCCCUGUGCCAUAGUGGGAACUCCCAAGGAGAUUUAUUCUUUUUGUUGUUGUUGU